UAACUUCGUGCCAGCAGCCGCGUAAUACGAGGGUGCAAGCGUUAAUCGGGAUUACUGGGCGUAAAGCGUUCGUAGGCGUUUGUUAAGCAAGAUGUGAAAGCCCAGGCUCAACCUUGGAACUGCAUUUUGAACUGGUAGACUAGAGUACUGUAGAGGUUGGUGGAAUUUCCAGUGUAGCGGUGAAAUGCGUAGAGAUUGGAAGGAACAUCAGUGGCGAAGGCGGCCACCUGGACAGAUACUGACGCUGAGGAACGAAAGCGUGGGGAGCGAACAGGAUUAGAUACCCUGGUAGUCCACGCCGUAAACGAUGUCAACUAGCCGUUUGUGUCCUUGAGACGUGAGUGGCGCANUAACGCACUAAGUUGACCGCCUGGGGAGUACGGCCGCAAGGUUAAAACUCAAAUGAAUUGACGGGGGCCGCACAAGCGGUGGAGCAUGUGGUUUAAUUCGAUGCAACGCGAAGAACCUUACCAUCCCUU
Molecule: ribosomal RNA, 479 nt
Filed under: Colwellia-like bacterium S1C12
Lineage: Bacteria; Pseudomonadati; Pseudomonadota; Gammaproteobacteria
Description: bacterial SSU rRNA
Rfam family: Bacterial small subunit ribosomal RNA
Source: RNAcentral